Molecule: ribosomal RNA, 497 nt
Filed under: uncultured bacterium
Lineage: Bacteria
Description: partial 16S ribosomal RNA
Rfam family: Bacterial small subunit ribosomal RNA
Source: RNAcentral
GAUGAACGCUGGCGGCGUGCCUAAUACAUGCAAGUCGAGCGAACGGACGAGAAGCUUGUUUCUCUGAUGUUAGCGGCGGACGGGUGAGUAACAUGUGGAUAACCUACCUAUAAGACUGGGAUAACCUCGGGAAACCGUAGCUAAUACCGGAUAAUAUUCUGAACCGUAUGGUUCAAAAGUGAAAGACGGUCUUGCUGUCACUUAUAGAUGGAUCCGCGCUGCAUUAGCUAGUUGGUAAGGUAACGGCUUACCAAGGCAACGAUGCAUAGCCGACCUGAGAGGAGGAUCGGCCACACGGGAGCGGGGACGCAGUCCAGGCUCCUACGAGAAGCAGCAGAAGGGAAUCUUACGCAAUGGGCGAGAGCCUGACGGAGCAACGGCGCGUGAGAGAUAGAGGUCUUCGGAUCGUAAAACUCUGUUAUUAGGGAUAAACAUAUUUGUCAGUAACUGUGGACAUCGUGACGGUACCUAAUCAGAAAGCCACGGCUAACUACGUG